CACACGUGGGGCAUGGGUUGGUCCGGGAGAAAUCCGGAUUGGUCCGCCGGUGGCGCUUAUGCGCUCACGCCCUGCGGAGGUUCAACCGGAAACAGGAGAACA
This 102-nucleotide small RNA is filed under the name Hoeflea phototrophica DFL-43. Its description in RNAcentral is "rpsB sRNA". It matches the Rfam family "rpsB sRNA". The record is from Rfam by way of RNAcentral. Lineage: Bacteria; Pseudomonadati; Pseudomonadota; Alphaproteobacteria; Hyphomicrobiales; Rhizobiaceae.